AUAUCUUUCAGGUCAUCCAGAGGUGCCCAAGCCACACCAACAGAGAAGAUAGUGAUUCCUACAAUGAAAACAUUUUAAAGUGAAUUGAAAAUCAGGUCUAGCUAAUAUAUGGAAUUAUGUCUAUAUGUUUUCCAUACACUGUUACAUAGUUGCAGCGAAAACUGCUUACUAAUUUCUGGACAAUUAAAUCCCCUGAACAAAUUAAGUUUUCACAGUCAUUGUGACGAGAGUGGCAAAAGAGUGGUCCAAACCAGAAACUCUGCUAUAUCUGUAAUUCGCCACAUUAACAGAACAAGGACCUUACCUGCAUCAUGUGCAGCAGCUGCAGGGCCUUGGACAUCAUCAUAGGACUGCCCAUCUGUGACAAUUACUAGGAAGUUCUUGUUGGGGCUCUCCCUUAUAGGGCCAAACACAUUUCUAACAGUGAAGGAAAUGGCAUCACCAGUAGCUGUUCCACCACUCAUAUAGCGGAUGUUUCUGAUGACAGCUAGGACAUUCUCUUUGGUGCUAUAGUCAGUGAAACUGAACUCCGUGCGCUGAUCAUAAGUAAACUGUACAGCAGCUAUCUUGGCACCAAUGUCCGAGAUUUCAAAAGUCUUGGCUAUGUUGGAAACAAAUUCAAGCAUGAGGCGGAAAUUGCUAUCUCCAACACUGCUGGAGCCAUCAAUUAGAAAGGCAAUGUUCACUGAGUUAUAACAGGUCUUGCUGCACAUCAUUUGUUCAUGAGUGCACAGCUUCUGUACCAGAGGCUUUACGUAUUUUGUGGUGCCAAACCAGUUGGGCAUGUGGUAAGAGAAGAAGCCAUUAUUCCGACAGACAGCCUAAUGGGGGAGACACAUAAAAGAUAUCCAAAAGGAUCAAAAGUUGUUUCUUCUUAAAAACUGGAAAAUCCUGAAUGUUUCAAGUUAAUCUAGAUAAGAGGCAGUCAGCACUGCACUUAGAGGUCCAAAAUGGAAUACCCAUCACUGUAACAGAAGAUAACCCUCACCACUUUACCUUGUCAACAAAUGUGACAUCCUGAACCAUCCCCAGUUCUUCAGGGAUAGGCUUGGCCACAGAAACUAUAAAUACAUUGACACCAAACUCUCUGGCCACAAUGCCUGCUUCCUCGAUGUCAUCAGAAGGCCAACCAUCAAUAAAUACCACCACCACUUUGG
RNAcentral lists this long non-coding RNA (1157 nucleotides) under Homo sapiens (human). RNAcentral describes it as "HSALNT0376223". The record is from RNAcentral. Lineage: Eukaryota; Metazoa; Chordata; Mammalia; Primates; Hominidae.